UGGGGAAUAUUGCACAAUGGGGGAAACCCUGAUGCAGCGACGCCGCGUGAGCGAUGAAGGCUUUCGAGUCGUAAAGCUCUGUCCUAUGGGAAGAUAAUGACGGUACCAUAGAAGAAAGCCCCGGCUAAUUACGUGCCAGCAGCCGCGGUAAUACGUAAGGGGCGAGCGUUGUCCGGAAUUAUUGGGCGUAAAGAGUGCGUAGGCGGCAAAUUAAGUCAGAUGUGAAAACUAAGGGCUCAACCCAUAGAUUGCAUCUGAAACUGAUAUGCUUGAGUCAAGGUGAGGAAAGUGGAAUUCCUAGUGUAGCGGUAGAAUGCGUAGAUAUUAGGAGGGAUACCGGUGGCGAAGGCGACUUUCUGGACUUGAACUGACGCUGAGGCACGAAAGCGUGGGGAGCAAGCAGG
Molecule: ribosomal RNA, 404 nt
Filed under: Verrucomicrobiota bacterium
Lineage: Bacteria; Pseudomonadati; Verrucomicrobiota
Description: Verrucomicrobia bacterium partial 16S ribosomal RNA
Rfam family: Bacterial small subunit ribosomal RNA
Source: RNAcentral